Molecule: ribosomal RNA, 492 nt
Filed under: uncultured bacterium
Lineage: Bacteria
Description: partial 16S ribosomal RNA
Rfam family: Bacterial small subunit ribosomal RNA
Source: RNAcentral
AGUGAACGCUGGCGGUAGGCCUAACACAUGCAAGUCGAACGGCAGCACAGUAAGAGCUUGCUCUUACGGGUGGCGAGUGGCGGACGGGUGAGGAAUACAUCGGAAUCUACUUUUUCGUGGGGGAUAACGUAGGGAAGCUUACGCUAAUACCGCAUACGACCUACGGGUGAAAGCAGGGGAUCUUCGGACCUUGCGCGAUUGAAUGAGCCGAUGUCGGAUUAGCUAGUUGGCGGGGUAAAGGCCCACCAAGGCGACGAUCCGUAGCUGGUCUGAGAGGAUGAUCAGCCACACUGGAACUGAGACACGGUCCAGACUCCUACGGGAGGCAGCAGUGGGGAAUAUUGGACAAUGGGCGCAAGCCUGAUCCAGCCAUACCGCGUGGGUGAAGAAGGCCUUCGGGUUGUAAAGCCCUUUUGUUGGGAAAGAAAAGCAGCAGGUUAAUACCCCGCUGUUCUGACGGUACCCAAAGAACAAGCACCGGCUAACUUCGUG